This 254-nucleotide ribosomal RNA is filed under the name uncultured bacterium. RNAcentral describes it as "partial 16S ribosomal RNA". It matches the Rfam family "Bacterial small subunit ribosomal RNA", at positions 524 to 776 of the family's 1533-position model. The record is from RNAcentral.
UACGGGGGGAGCAAGCGUUGUUCGGAUUUACUGGGCGUAAAGGGCGCGUAGGCGGCCACCGCAAGUCGACUGUGAAAUCUCCGGGCUUAACCCGGAACGGUCAGCCGAUACUGCGGGGCUAGAGUGCAGAAGGGGCAACUGGAAUUCUCGGUGUAGCGGUGAAAUGCGUAGAUAUCGAGAGGAACACCUGCGGCGAAGGCGGCAUCCUGGACCGACAUUGACGCUGAACGGCGAAAGCUAGGGGAGCAAACGGG